Camelina sativa (false flax) is the source of this 1390-nucleotide non-coding RNA. NCBI's taxonomy places the organism in Eukaryota, Viridiplantae, Streptophyta, Magnoliopsida, Brassicales, Brassicaceae. The record is from RefSeq and is a predicted model, not a curated record.
AUUCUUUUAGGGUUUUCACUUUGGCGUUUCUAUCAUCUGAUUUCUUAUUCUAUAUAUGUGUAGAUCAGAGAUGGUUUGAAGAAUGGUGAAGAAGACGACUCAGACUGCUUAAGGUUUUGUUUGUUGUUUCAGGGAUAUUUAUUUUUAAACAAUGGCAAGGGAGGGCUAAGUUACCAUCCUGCAAUACAGGGAGACAUCUUCAAUUGCUUUAAGUAAUGAAGUAUCAGAGAUGGUUUGAAGAAUUAUUAAGAAGGCGACUCAGACUGCUCAAGGAAUUUCAUCAUCCUUAAACUAUGGCAAGGGAGGGCUAAGUAACCAGCCUGCAUUACAGCGGGACAUCUUCUAUUGCUUUAACUAAUGAAGUGUCUAACUAAGCAGAACAGAAAGAUAUGGUUUGAAGAAUGAACGCAGUUUCAUAAGAAAAACUUGGCCGAGGGGCGUGCUCUCUCACGGAUCUGAAGCGGAGAGAGGAUGCUGCUGCACAAGGAUCUAAAGCGGAAAGAGGAUGCUGCUGCCUAAGAUCAGUUUGAAUAACGAUGAAGAAGAAGAAGACUCACACUGCUUAAGGUUUUGUUUCUGUCAUCAACACCACAAUCCAUCAGAGAUGGUUUGAAGAAUGGUGAAGAAGACGACUCAGACUGCUUAAGGUUUUGUUUGUUGUUUCAGGGUUCACUUUCUUCCCUUUAACGAUGAUGAAGAAGACUCUGACUGCUUGAGGUGGUUUCGCUUCAUCAAAUCCUUUUUAAGUCUAAUUCAUGUUCUUCUUCUCUAGGUUUUUGGAUGAUGCUUUUAUGGAUGAGAGUGAUGGCUUAAGGACACGCUUCGCUUCUUCUCGGUGAUAACGUCUUCAAGGGUGUUAUGGAAGCGAAUUAUGAUAUGAUCGGAUCAGUGCAUAUUCUUCUCUCACGGUUUCCUUCUCUAAACACACAUCUAUAUAUUGGCUUCUAAUAACAUAUUACUUACUUGUCGAUUGGUUUUUGUUUUGUUGGUUCACAUUUGUGGAGGAGGAUCCUACCAUCGUCACUCUAAUUCAGUUUAUUCUUCUUCUAGAGUUUUGUUUCUGAAUUGAAUCAUUGAAGGCUUUUUUAUUAUGUUUAUGCGACUUUUUACCUUUUGCUCUGUUAUUUCAGGUUGUGGAGGAUCGGUCGGUGAUGCUUUUGAUGGAUCCUUUUUGUUUACUGUGCCAUACAUCUUCAGGACCAGAUAAUUCAUAUGAGAGAUGAUCACAAAUUCUUCACUAGACGAGUUUGUUCUUGAACUGUGUUCUUUUUUAACUAGCAAAAGGCUGGACAUGUGAAAGAUAUUCAGUUUUGGAAUUUGGAUGAUGCUUUUAUCGUGAUGGCUUUGAUGUGUUUCGGAAGCAAAUUAUGAUCGGAUCGGUGCAUAUCUU